RNAcentral lists this ribosomal RNA (253 nucleotides) under uncultured bacterium. Its description in RNAcentral is "partial 16S ribosomal RNA". It matches the Rfam family "Bacterial small subunit ribosomal RNA", at positions 524 to 776 of the family's 1533-position model. The record is from RNAcentral.
UACGGAGGGGGCUAGCGUUGUUCGGAAUUACUGGGCGUAAAGCGUGCGCAGGCGGUCUCUUAAGACAGGUGUGAAAUCCCCGGGCUUAACCUGGGAACUGCGCUUGUAACUGGGAGGCUUGAGUGUGCCAGAGGGGGGUGGAAUUCCACGUGUAGCAGUGAAAUGCGUAGAGAUGUGGAGGAACACCGAUGGCGAAGGCAGCCCCCUGGGCUAACACUGACGCUCAUGCACGAAAGCGUGGGGAGCAAACAGG